GACAGAGGGUGCAAACGUUGCUCGGAAUUACUGGGCGUAAAGCGCGUGUAGGCGGACUGGUGUGUCGGAUGUGAAAUCCCCAGGCUCAACCUGGGAACUGCAUUCGAAACUGCCAGCCUUGAGUGGUGGAGAGGGAAGUGGAAUUCCUGGUGUAGAGGUGAAUUCGAUAUGAUAUCAGGAGGAACACCAGUGGCGAAGGCGGCUUCCUGGACACCAACUGACGCUGAGACGCGAAAGCGUGGGGAGCAAACAGG
RNAcentral lists this ribosomal RNA (254 nucleotides) under uncultured bacterium. RNAcentral describes it as "partial 16S ribosomal RNA". It matches the Rfam family "Bacterial small subunit ribosomal RNA", at positions 524 to 776 of the family's 1533-position model. The record is from RNAcentral.